This 1394-nucleotide ribosomal RNA is filed under the name uncultured Oscillospiraceae bacterium. RNAcentral's name for it is "bacterial SSU rRNA". It matches the Rfam family "Bacterial small subunit ribosomal RNA". The record is from RNAcentral. Lineage: Bacteria; Bacillati; Bacillota; Clostridia; Eubacteriales; Oscillospiraceae.
GUUUGAUCCUGGCUCAGGACGAACGCUGGCGGCGUGCCUAACACAUGCAAGUCGAACGGACAUAAUCCGGUAGUAAUAUUGGGUUAUUGUUAGUGGCGAACGGGUGAGUAAUACAUGAGCAACCUGCCUUUCAGAGGGGGAUAACAGUUGGAAACAGCUGCUAAUACCGCAUAACGUAUUUUUGUGGCAUCACGGAAAUACCAAAGGAGCAAUCCGCUGAAAGAUGGGCUCAUGUCUGAUUAGUUAGAUGGUAGGGUAACGGCCUACCAUGACUGCGAUCAGUAGCCGGUCUGAGAGGAUGAACGGCCACAUUGGGACUGAGAUACGGCCCAGACUCCUACGGGAGGCAGCAGUGGGGAAUAUUGGGCAAUGGGGGAAACCCUGACCCAGCAACGCCGCGUGAAGGAAGAAGGCUUUCGGGUUGUAAACUUCUUUUAUCAGGGACGAAGAAAGUGACGGUACCUGAUGAAUAAGCCACGGCUAACUACGUGCCCAGCAGCCGCGGUAAUACGUAGGUGGCAAGCGUUGUCCGGGAUUUACUGGGUGUAAAGGGCGUGUAGGCGGGAUAGCAAGUCAGAUGUGAAAUCCAUGGGCUCAACCCAUGAACUGCAUUUGAAACUGUUAUUCUUGAGUGAUGGAGAGGCAAGUGGAAUUCCUAGUGUAGCGGUGAAAUGCGUAGAUAUUAGGAGGAACACCAGUGGCGAAGGCGACUUGCUGGACAUUAACUGACGCUGAGACGCGAAAGCGCGGGGAGCAAACAGGAUUAGAUACCCUGGUAGUCCGCGCCGUAAACGAUGAAUACUAGGUGUGGGGGGGACUGACCCUCUCCGUGCCGGAGUUAACACAAUAAGUAUUCCACCUGGGGAGUACGGCCGCAAGGCUGAAACUCAAAGGAAUUGACGGGGCCCGCACAAGCAGUGGAUUAUGUGGUUUAAUUCGAAGCAACGCGAAGAACCUUACCAGGGCUUGACAUCCAACUAACGAAGCAGAGAUGCAUUAGGUGCCCUUCGGGGAAAGUUGAGACAGGCGGUGCAUGGUUGUCGUCAGCUCGUGUCGUGAGAUGUUGGGUUAAGUCCCGCAACGAGCGCAACCCUUAUUGCUAGUUGCUACGCAAGAGCACUCUAGCGAGACUGCCGUUGACAAAACGGAGGAAGGUGGGGACGACGUCAAAUCAUCAUGCCCCUUAUGUCCUGGGCUACACACGUAAUACAAUGGCGCAAAACAGAGGGAAGCGAAGGAGCGAUCCGGAGCGAAUCCCCAAAAGGCGUCUCAGUUCGGAUUGCAGGCUGCAACUCGCCUGCAUGAAGUCGGAAUUGCUAGUAAUCGCGGAUCAGCAUGCCGCGGUGAAUACGUUCCCGGGCCUUGUACACACCGCCCGUCACACCAUGAGAGUC